UUCAAUCUGAUUUUUCUAAAACAUACAAAACAUUUUCACAUUAAUGUCAAUCAUUAUUUUGUUGUCAAAUUUAUUUAAAUAAUUUCUUUUACUUUAUUUUAAUUAAUAAAAUGAAUAUUUCAAGAGGUGAACGAAGUAUUCCUUGGAGUGAAAGAUCUUGUAGUGAAAAACUGAAGAUUUCCGGAGCAAUUUUAUUUAUCGUACUCUUUUUGGCAAAGAUAAUUGUGCUUGUUGUGUAUUUUGGAGUUAUAAGAAGAGAACAAACUUGAAAACAAGCUUAUAAUAUUCUAUAGUUUUAUAUGUAA
Long non-coding RNA from Episyrphus balteatus (marmalade hoverfly), 305 nucleotides. RefSeq lists it as uncharacterized. The transcript is spliced from 2 exons. NCBI's taxonomy places the organism in Eukaryota, Metazoa, Arthropoda, Insecta, Diptera, Syrphidae. The record is from RefSeq and is a predicted model, not a curated record.